This 620-nucleotide ribosomal RNA is filed under the name uncultured archaeon. RNAcentral describes it as "bacterial SSU rRNA". It matches the Rfam family "Archaeal small subunit ribosomal RNA", at positions 827 to 1445 of the family's 1478-position model. The record is from RNAcentral.
CCUGGAAAGUACGUACGCAAAGUAUGAAACUUAAAGGAAUUGGCGGGGGAGCNCCCCAAGGGGUGAAGCCUGCGGUUCAAUUGGAGUCAACGCCAGAAAUCUUACCCNGAGAGACAGCAGAAUGAGGGUCAAGCUGAAGACUUUACCAGACAAGCUGAGAGGUGGUGCAUGGCCGUCGCCAGCUCGUGCCGUGAGAUGUCCUGUUAAGUCAGGUAACGAGCGAGAUCCCUGCCGCUAGUUGCUAUCAUUAUUCUCAGGAAUAGUGGAGCGAAUUAGCGGGACUGCCGUUGUUAAAACGGAGGAAGGAAGGGGCUACGGCAGGUCAGUAUGCCCCGAAACUCUGGGGCCACACGCGGGCUGCAAUGGUAGUGACAAUGAGUUCCAAACUCGAAAGAGAGUGGCAAUCUCUAAACGCUACCACAGUUAUGACUGAGGGCUGUAACUCGCCCUCACGAAUAUGGAAUCCCUAGUAACCGCGUGUCAUUACCGCGCGGUGAAUACGUCCCUGCUCCUUGCACACACCGCCCGUCGUUUCAUCGAAGUUUGCUUUUAGCGAGGUGAUGUUUAAUUGGCAUUAUCGAACUUGAGGUAAGCGACGAGGGAAAAGUCGUAACAAGGUA